UACGUAGGGUGCGAGCGUUAAUCGGAAUUACUGGGCGUAAAGCGUGCGCAGGCGGUUCUCCAAGUCCGUUGUUAAAGCCCCGGGCUCAACCUGGGAAUGGCAGUGGAAACUAGGGGACUGGAAUCUGGCAGAGGGGGGUGGAAUGCCGCGUGUAGCAGUGAAAUGCGUAGAGAUGCGGCGGAACACCGAUGGCGAAGGCAGCCCCCUGGGCUGAGAUUGACGCUGAGGAGCGAAAGCGUGGGGAGCGAACAGG
This 253-nucleotide ribosomal RNA is filed under the name uncultured bacterium. Its description in RNAcentral is "partial 16S ribosomal RNA". It matches the Rfam family "Bacterial small subunit ribosomal RNA", at positions 524 to 776 of the family's 1533-position model. The record is from RNAcentral.